This is a non-coding RNA of Pantherophis guttatus, 2135 nucleotides long. The record is from RefSeq and is a predicted model, not a curated record. NCBI's taxonomy places the organism in Eukaryota, Metazoa, Chordata, Lepidosauria, Squamata, Colubridae.
GGUUUCUGUCUGAUCCAACCCAUCCAGUAGCUGUUAACAUCAAAUCCAGUGACAGCACAAGUCAGUUUAUGAGCUUCUCCUGGUUUCUUCAGCACUGGAUCUGACUGGGUCAGGACUACCUGGGAGAAGCCUCCUAAAGAAAGAAAAAACAACAGAAUUGGAUGAGAGUUAGGACAUCACAACCAUUGUUUUAAGAAUUGAAACUUCACUUCAACGAAGGAAUAAAAGUAAUAGAAUCAAAUAGCAAAAUGAACCCACGGGAAGAAAAGGCAAACAAUGCGAGGAGAACUGGAAGGAAGGAUGGCAUAGUGGAAGAACAGCUCUUUCUCUGAGGGCUUCUGUGAGGUGUGAAUGUUGAAUCCAGCGACAGCGCAAGUCAGUUUAUGAGCUUUUCCUGGUUUCUUCAGUGCCGGAUCUGACUGGGUCAGAACUUUCUGAGAGAGGGCACCUAAACAGAGAAGAAACAACAGAAUUGGGGGAGGGUUAGGACAUCACAGCCAUGGCUGAGGAAGGCAGCUUCCCUGGAGUGCCACAAAGAAUGAAAUGGAGAAAGAAAUGCACGAGAACAGAAGAUAACCAGUCUGAGGAAAACUGAAGAGAAGGACACCAUAGUGGAAGAAUAGCUGGAUAUUUGAAGGCUUCUGUGAGGCAGAAGUUGAAACUGUCCUUGGAGGUGAUAAAUUAUUCUUGGAUUGCUGGAGAGUAAGAGUCGUUGGAAGAGCCAUAAUGAACAAGCCAGUCCAGUCCUUUUCUGGAUUUCUGCCUAAUCCAGGGGUCUGCAACCUUAAACACUCAAAGAGCCAUUUGGACCCAUUUCCCACAGAAAAGAAAACACCAGGAGCCACAAAACCCUUCCUGUGCCUGACUAUUUCUUGAGCGGCCACAAAACUAGCAUAUAUAGUUGAAUUAAAUGUUCUGAAUCAGGAGGAAACCUGAUGAGGAACAUUUAUGCUUAUGGUUAUGAGAAAAGAUCUACCUGAAAGAUGGAUAAGGAACAGGAGGAAGGUCCAAAGAAGCAUGUCUACCAUUCUGUUGUAUUUUCUUGAGGCUACUUGGUGAUUGGCUCUGGAGAGGCAUGUUUGUAAGAACUGUUUUUAAGAAGAUGAGGCAGUUGAAUUCAUUUGCAUCAUCUCCAUAUUAUAAGGACAUGGUCUUUUCUUGGGGACUGCAAACUUAUGCAAACAUUUUCACAUGAUUGGGAAUGAGGUUGUUCAGUUGAAUUGUUGUUUGUGGGGAAACUAGGAGGACAAAGGUAUGUUGGGUUUGUUCAUCAACUUGAGUUACCUGUCAAAUUAAUAAUAAAGUUAGACUAAAUGCCAAAGGCACACGGAACACUGUUACCCUCCCACCAAAGGUGGUGUUGUGACUAGGCCCAAGUAGUUAUUACCAGACACAAUCAGUCCUAAACAAACAUAUUUUAUUAUAACAGCUAAGAAUUACUUCAUUCUCAGCUUAGUCCAAAUUAAUUCCAAAACAAAUUCUUCAUAAACAGUCCUUCGGCCUUAUCACCAACCUUUGUCUUCUUUGACACCCUGCCAAAGACUUUUCUUGGUAAAACCCCAUGAAGUUCAGAAGCAAGAGAUGCUGACAAGAAACACAUGUAGAAACGUUGCUUUCCUACAAAGAUCCCAAGACCCAUUAAGCCUUCUGGGAAGGACCAAUCAUCUCCUGGCCUUACUCCUGGGUCGUCCUUUUUGCUUUAGCUGCUCUUGCCUUCUGGCAGCUCUUUGCAUGCAUGCCUAGGAACAGGCUCCUCUUGUUCCUCUGCCUCUCUCCUAUCCAGAGUCCACACACCACUCCCAGAUGGCCUUGGCCCCCUCUCUGUCUCCAAUGCAGAGCCCUCGUCCGGGCCUUCCCCUGGCUCCAGGACUAGCCCAUUGUCCUCCCUAGCCUCCUCACUGUCUGACUCCGCUGCCAGCUCCACAAGCUGCUGGCGGACCACAACAGGUGGUCCCUAUUUUUCUACUUGCAUUUUUUACGUGCUUUCGAACUGCUCGGUUGGUAGAAGAAGUUAGAAAUACAAGUAAAUAAAUAAAAAUAAAUAAUUCUCAGCAUAAGGUCUGCAGAGCUGCUUUCUCUUCAUUCAGACUGGGCACUUGUAGAUAAAUAUACUUUGAAUAAAUGACUUACAUAUA